RNAcentral lists this ribosomal RNA (381 nucleotides) under uncultured bacterium. Its description in RNAcentral is "partial 16S ribosomal RNA". It matches the Rfam family "Bacterial small subunit ribosomal RNA", at positions 355 to 733 of the family's 1533-position model. The record is from RNAcentral.
UGAGGAAUAUUGGACAAUGGGUGAGAGCCUGAUCCAGCCAUCCCGCGUGAAGGACGACUGCCCUAUGGGUUGUAAACUUCUUUUAUACUGGGAUAAACCUACCCUCGUGAGGGUAGCUGAAGGUACAGUAUGAAUAAGCACCGGCUAACUCCGUGCCAGCAGCCGCGGUAAUACGGAGGGUGCAAGCGUUAUCCGGAUUUAUUGGGUUUAAAGGGUCCGUAGGCGGGCUGUAAGUCAGUGGUGAAAUCUCAUAGCUUAACUAUGAAACUGCCAUUGAUACUNCGGGUCUUGAGUAAAGUAGAAGUGGCUGGAAUAAGUAGUGUAGCGGUGAAACUGCAUAGAUAUUACUUAGAACACCAAUUGCGAAGGCAGGUCACUAUG